This is a non-coding RNA of Fusarium sp. DS 682, 133 nucleotides long. Lineage: Eukaryota; Fungi; Ascomycota; Sordariomycetes; Hypocreales; Nectriaceae. The record is from the annotation of a GenBank genome assembly.
GCCCGUGUGGCCUAAUGGCUAAGGCGUCUGACUGUUAGUAAACCCCGCUUGGUAGUGAAUCCAAUACUGACCACUCUGCAGUCUAUAAAGAAGACCAAUCAGAAGAUUGCGAGUUCGAUCCUCGCCAUGGGCU